Molecule: ribosomal RNA, 830 nt
Filed under: Bridouxia sp. 1-ABW-2004
Lineage: Eukaryota; Metazoa; Mollusca; Gastropoda; Pleuroceridae
Description: partial 16S ribosomal RNA
Rfam family: Bacterial large subunit ribosomal RNA
Source: RNAcentral
CUCUUUAAUGAUAACUUACUUUAUUAAAGUUUUAACUCUGCUAAAAACGCUUUUGAGGAUAAGCUCAAAAGCGAUAUUUGGGGGGCGCACAUAAAAAUUUAACUGUGUAAGCCUAAAAUUAGCUACCACGAAAGUUUGUUACAAAAUAGUUAUAUUUAAUAAAAAAAUUAUUAUGCUUUUUCGCCAAACACCAAUGAAGAUAAAAGUUAAAAUUAUUUAACUUUAUGCCUAUGCUAGGAUGAGUAUCAUACCUUAUUUAGCCGCGGGAAAAUUACUAUUUCCUGCCCUAUAAACAAGUUAGUAAUACUAAUUGAAAAAAAGGAAUUCAGCAAAUUUUUGCUCCGCCUGUUUAUCAAAAACAUGGCUCCCCGCUCAAGCAAAAUGGGGAGUCGGACCUGCCCAGUGAAAUUUUCAACGGCCGCGGUACUCUGACCGUGCAAAGGUAGCGUAAUCAUUUGCCUUAUAAUUGAAGGCUAGUAUGAAUGGUUUGACGUGAGCAAUACUGUCUCUUUUUUAUUUUUUAAAAAUUAACUUUUAGGUGAAGAGGCCUAAAUAAAAUUAAAGGACAAGAAGACCCUGUCGAGCUUAAAAGACAAAAUAGGGAUUAAUAUCUGAGAAAUACACUUCUAUCAAGCUUUUUAGUUGGGGCGACUAAGGAACAAACAAAGCUUCUUUCAAAAAAUUAUGCAAAUUAGCUUAGAUCCAGUACCACUGAGCAAGAAAAUUAGUUACCGCAGGGAUAACAGCAUAAUCUCUCUUGAGAGACCUAAUCGAAAGGGGGGGUUGUGACCUCGAUGUUGGACUAGAAUAUCCGAAAGAUGCAGACGUCU